RNAcentral lists this ribosomal RNA (937 nucleotides) under Bacillus sp. DSM 5850. Its description in RNAcentral is "bacterial SSU rRNA". It matches the Rfam family "Bacterial small subunit ribosomal RNA", at positions 56 to 976 of the family's 1533-position model. Lineage: Bacteria; Bacillati; Bacillota; Bacilli; Caryophanales; Bacillaceae. The record is from RNAcentral.
UGCAGUCGAGCGGAUCUUCAUUAGCUUGCUUUUGAAGAUCAGCGGCGGACGGGUGAGUAACACGUGGGCAACCUGCCUGUAAGACUGGGAUAACUUCGGGAAACCGGAGCUAAUACCGGAUAAUCCUUUCCCUCUCAUGAGGGAAAGCUGAAAGACGGUUUCGGCUGUCACUUACAGAUGGGCCCGCGGCGCAUUAGCUAGUUGGUGAGGUAACGGCUCACCAAGGCGACGAUGCGUAGCCGACCUGAGAGGGUGAUCGGCCACACUGGGACUGAGACACGGCCCAGACUCCUACGGGAGGCAGCAGUAGGGAAUCUUCCGCAAUGGACGAAAGUCUGACGGAGCAACGCCGCGUGAGCGAUGAAGGCCUUCGGGUCGUAAAGCUCUGUUGUCAGGGAAGAACAAGUACCGGAGUAACUGCCGGUACCUUGACGGUACCUGACCAGAAAGCCACGGCUAACUACGUGCCAGCAGCCGCGGUAAUACGUAGGUGGCAAGCGUUGUCCGGAAUUAUUGGGCGUAAAGCGCGCGCAGGCGGUUCCUUAAGUCUGAUGUGAAAGCCCCCGGCUCAACCGGGGAGGGUCAUUGGAAACUGGGGAACUUGAGUGCAGAAGAGGAGAGCGGAAUUCCACGUGUAGCGGUGAAAUGCGUAGAGAUGUGGAGGAACACCAGUGGCGAAGGCGGCUCUCUGGUCUGUAACUGACGCUGAGGCGCGAAAGCGUGGGGAGCGAACAGGAUUAGAUACCCUGGUAGUCCACGCCGUAAACGAUGAGUGCUAAGUGUUAGAGGGUUUCCGCCCUUUAGUGCUGCAGCAAACGCAUUAAGCACUCCGCCUGGGGAGUACGGCCGCAAGGCUGAAACUCAAAGGAAUUGACGGGGGCCCGCACAAGCGGUGGAGCAUGUGGUUUAAUUCGAAGCAACGCGAAGAACCUUACCA